AUCAUGAGUAAGGCCUCUGGUGAGGUAUUAGAAAGGUGGAAUUUCAGUAUCGAAACUGAUAGUGAGGUUGUCCAGAAAGGUGUUUCAAGAGAGAAAAGUGAUAAAGAAAUAAUGAGGGAAAUUCAAGCGAUUAUGAGGCAAAUAGCGUCCAGCAUCACUUAUUUGCCGUGCCUUGAGGAACCAUGUGUGUUUGAUGUGUUAGCAUACACUGAUAUGGAUGUUGCAGUUCCAUUCACUUGGAUUGAGAGUGACCCUAAACUGAUUGCGAAUCCACAAAUGGUGAAACUGCACUCUUUUGACA
This 301-nucleotide unclassified non-coding RNA is filed under the name Hevea brasiliensis (rubber tree). The record is from RNAcentral. Lineage: Eukaryota; Viridiplantae; Streptophyta; Magnoliopsida; Malpighiales; Euphorbiaceae.